AUGAAGCUGGAAUCGCUAGUAAUCGCGGAUCAGAAUGCCGCGGUGAAUACGUUCCCGGGUCUUGUACACACCGCCCGUCACACCAUGGGAGGUCGGAAAUGCCCGAAGUCUGUGACCCAACCGUAAGGAGGGAGCAGCCGAAGGCAGGUCGGAUGACUGGGGUGAAGUCGUAACAAGGUAGC
RNAcentral lists this ribosomal RNA (182 nucleotides) under uncultured bacterium. Its description in RNAcentral is "partial 16S ribosomal RNA". It matches the Rfam family "Bacterial small subunit ribosomal RNA", at positions 1320 to 1500 of the family's 1533-position model. The record is from RNAcentral.